Molecule: transfer RNA, 65 nt
Filed under: Pterolophia sp. ZJY-2019
Lineage: Eukaryota; Metazoa; Arthropoda; Insecta; Coleoptera; Cerambycidae
Description: tRNA-Ile
Source: RNAcentral
AAUGAGGUGCCUGAAAAAGGAUAAUUUUGAUAGAAUUGAACAUGUGGCCCCACCCACCCUCAUUA